CGGGAGGUAGCUCAGCUUGGUAGAGCUUCCGAACCAGCCUAUUAUCGAGGCUGAUGGAGAUGCUGUAGACGUCUACCCUUAUGGUGGGCAUCAUUUAGCCUACUAAGCGUACAGACACCGGAUUGUCGCAGGUUCAACUCCCGCCCUCCCGACCA
RNAcentral lists this transfer RNA (155 nucleotides) under Candidatus Bathyarchaeota archaeon. RNAcentral describes it as "tRNA-OTHER". It matches the Rfam family "tRNA". Rfam says of the family: Transfer RNA (tRNA) molecules are approximately 80 nucleotides in length. Their secondary structure includes four short double-helical elements and three loops (D, anti-codon, and T loops). The record is from RNAcentral. Lineage: Archaea; Thermoproteati; Candidatus Bathyarchaeota.